AGAAUCCCCUCAAGGUAACGUAACCAUAGCAACAUUUACAAGCGACGGAAGUAAAGUGUUAAAUGUCAACAACCCUCGUCACAUCAUCGACAGCCAACAGAUCAACACGUUCAGCCACACAUUCACCCUCCGCAUCAACCAAACACAGUGUGAGGACAACGUGACCUUUGUGUGUAGGGGCCGAUGUGAGGACAGAAGUGUUGGAGAGAAGGUCUUUACCAGCAUUAAACAUGUCAUUAGCGUUCCAAAGGACCCAGGCUGUGAUCCCUAGAAUAAUAACAGCGGGGAACAUAACGAAUGUGACAUGCCAAGGAAUUGAAUUCAGAAACCGCACAAUCUUUUGGGAGUACAGUCGACUUGGUGCCCCUUUCUCUAACUUAAACUUUGGAACACAAAAUAUUUUCGGCAUGACCCCGCCCCUAGCUGGGUUGUCCUGUGUGGUACUCGUUAGAAACGUACGAACGUUUGCUUUCCCCAUUCAGGCCAAUGGCGACCAGGUUAGAUGUAGGUCAGGGUCAACGGGUGUCCUAUCAACGCCUGUCACUCUAAAUGUGGUUAACCGGUUGUAAU
Long non-coding RNA from Physella acuta, 570 nucleotides. RefSeq lists it as uncharacterized. NCBI's taxonomy places the organism in Eukaryota, Metazoa, Mollusca, Gastropoda, Physidae. The record is from RefSeq and is a predicted model, not a curated record.